Long non-coding RNA from Neofelis nebulosa (Clouded leopard), 555 nucleotides. RefSeq lists it as uncharacterized. NCBI's taxonomy places the organism in Eukaryota, Metazoa, Chordata, Mammalia, Carnivora, Felidae. The record is from RefSeq and is a predicted model, not a curated record. The transcript is spliced from 2 exons.
GAAAUAGAAGAGCAGUGAGAGGGAGAAAAUGGUUACCAAACAGCAAGAAGUGACCUAAGAAGGGUGGACAGUUGAUGGAAGUGAUGAGCAACGGUCUACAUGGGGAAGGAAACCGGUCAUUCCUUCCAAACUGCCAUGGCCCUCCCUAAAUGAUAUGGUGACCAUCUGGGGAACGUCUCCCUUCAACCUGAUGGCACACUCCUUAAAAGUAAGGACUUGCACUAUCCAUCUUUGAUCCCUCUAUGUCCACAAUGCUGAAUGUCGCAGGAGCCCAAUAAAUGUCCAUUAAUCAAAUCAAGGACCCAACAGUCAUUCGUUAAAAAAAAAAAAAAAAAAAAAAAAGUGACAAGUGACAUGCAGUGAAUUACAGACUGUCUUAACUACCUGUUAGGAUUUCAGCAGAACCUACAAAGCUUGCCCUUUUGCGAGUCUACAGACAGCAAUAUUUAUGACAGCAGACCUUCAAUUAAAAAUCAUUACUUAAGUUGCUUUAUUACAGCUACAAAUAAACUUUAUUUGAUGUAAUGUAAUAAAACAUUUUCAAAUUUAACAACA